GACGAACGCUGGCGGCGUGCUUAACACAUGCAAGUCGAACGGAAAGUCCCUGCUUUUGUGGGGUGCUCGAGUGGCGAACGGGUGAGUAACACGUGAGUAACCCGUCCCUGAUAUUGGGAUAACUUCAGGAAACUUGGGCUAAUAUCGGAUAGUAGUUCUUGCUCCACGUUGGGGGAUGGAAAGUUUCGGCGGUUGGGGAUGGACUCGCGGCUUAUCAGCUUGUUGGUGGGGUAGUGGCUUACCAAGGCUUUGACGGGUAGCCGGCCUGAGAGGGUGACCGGGCACCAUGGGACUGGGGUACGGCCCAGUAUCCUACCGGAGGCAGCAGGGGGGAAUAUUGCGCAAUGGGCGGGAGCCUGUGACAGCAACGCCGCGUGCGGGAUAACGUGUUUCGAGUUAUGAACAGCUUUCGCAUGUGACGAGGAGUGAGUGACGGUAAUGAGUGAAGAAGCAACGGCUAACUACGUG
Molecule: ribosomal RNA, 468 nt
Filed under: uncultured bacterium
Lineage: Bacteria
Description: partial 16S ribosomal RNA
Rfam family: Bacterial small subunit ribosomal RNA
Source: RNAcentral